Long non-coding RNA from Sander lucioperca (pikeperch), 1303 nucleotides. RefSeq lists it as uncharacterized. Lineage: Eukaryota; Metazoa; Chordata; Actinopteri; Perciformes; Percidae. The transcript is spliced from 3 exons. The record is from RefSeq and is a predicted model, not a curated record.
AAUAGGCCCUCCAGGGCUGACUGCCUGCAUAUACCAAGGCAGUUGCUAUGGAGCGCAGCACAGAAAAAUGCUUAACACUAAAGAAAGUCACACUAUAACACAAACUAUCCGAUCGAGGCAGCGGUAGAGCAGCAACUCGUGUUCUGCGCUGUCAAAUGACUGCUUUUGAAUGAAUGCUUUUGUAAAAACAGCUUCAGUUCCUCAUCGUAAAGGGCUGUCUGACAGCAAGGUAAAGCCUUGAAAAUAUUCUAAAUAUAGCGGGGAUACUUGUGUAUGGGCAGUUUGCCUCCGUGGCACCAGCUAUCAGUUUAUUAGUCCCAGAAAAAAAAUUCUGGCUUUUGUAUAUGAAGUAAUAAAUAAUUACUAUGAUUUAAAGCUUUAGAUGAUAAAAUAAAAAAGUGCAAAUUAUAUCUUACAGUACUAAAGAACAUGCAUAUUUGCACUAGUCGCUUGUGCCCACCCAACAUUUUUUACUGCGUCCGCCAUUUAAAGCUGACCAGAACCGGGCCUGAAUGGAACACCACUCAGUUCUAAAUUCCUAAAUGUAAACUACAAAACCAUCUACCCUAAAAUUAAGGAUAUUAAAAGUGUAUACAAAUAUUUUUCUUUUGGAUGCAAUUAUAAUUUGGUGAAACACAACUCAACAAUACCAUGCAAUACAAUGAUACCAUGCCCAUACUAAAUCAAAGAGGUGAGGGAGGAAUACACAUUUCCUGACUUUUUUGGUCCCCAAUUUACCUAUGCCUGUCACGAGGAUUCAGCUGCUGACCUCAAACACACUUUUCCUGACUUUUUCGGUCCCCACCUCGACCUUGCCCAUCCCCCACCCACACGAGAGCUGCUGACAGUGAGUGGGCGGAGCAUGUGCAGGUGCAGUUAGAAGCAAGCAGGAGCACAAGCUGGCAGCAGCACAGACAGAAGGUGCUCCUACAGACACUAAUGGACGAGGAACACAUGGAAACUAACGUUGGGUAAAGUGCAGGAUACACCAGGCUGAAGGAACGCUUACAACGCCUGAGGGAGCUUCAUAAUACAUCUUUAUCCGGGAACAUGGAAUCCGUAAAACACCAAAGCCAGGAAGUAAGCCUAGAUUCUGAGAGUUCACAUGAUGAGGUUGGUGAUGACCCAAAUGUACCACCCCUGAGGAGAACUGACAGCGUAUCUGUAAGUUUGCAUAAUUAAAACAAGCUGGGCACCUAACUUUUACAAAAGAAAAUAAACAGACAGGAUAAUUCUUUGGGGAAGGUUGGCAGGUUGGCAGUGAAUCCUGAGCGUAAGUUCCCAUAUGAACAGACUAUGCUGA